UGGGGAAUAUUGGACAAUGGGCGAAAGCCUGAUCCAGCAAUGCCGCGUGAGUGAUGAAGGCCUUAGGGUUGUAAAGCUCUUUUACCCGGGAUGAUAAUGACAGUACCGGGAGAAUAAGCUCCGGCUAACUCCGUGCCAGCAGCCGCGGUAAUACGGAGGGAGCUAGCGUUGUUCGGAAUUACUGGGCGUAAAGCGCACGUAGGCGGCUUUGUAAGUUAGAGGUGAAAGCCUGGAGCUCAACUCCAGAACUGCCUUUAAGACUGCAUCGCUUGAAUCCAGGAGAGGUGAGUGGAAUUCCGAGUGUAGAGGUGAAAUUCGUAGAUAUUCGGAAGAACACCAGUGGCGAAGGCGGCUCACUGGACUGGUAUUGACGCUGAGGUGCGAAAGCGUGGGGAGCAAACAGG
RNAcentral lists this ribosomal RNA (404 nucleotides) under Actinomycetes bacterium. RNAcentral describes it as "Actinobacteria bacterium partial 16S ribosomal RNA". It matches the Rfam family "Bacterial small subunit ribosomal RNA", at positions 355 to 776 of the family's 1533-position model. Lineage: Bacteria; Bacillati; Actinomycetota; Actinomycetes. RNAcentral also lists the same sequence under 3 other names. The record is from RNAcentral.